AUUGAGACUAGUCACGCUUGGGUAUCACCCGUGGCCUUAGUGUGCUAGAGUCCUUGAAGAGUAACUGCUGACAUUAUUCACUGGCUGUGGCCCUCAUGCUAUAGCCAGGCGUCAGGUUAGUGACAUGU
Molecule: small nucleolar RNA, 128 nt
Organism: Erinaceus europaeus (western European hedgehog)
Lineage: Eukaryota; Metazoa; Chordata; Mammalia; Eulipotyphla; Erinaceidae
Source: Ensembl